UGCCAGCCGCCGCGGUAAUACGUAGGCUCCAAGCGUUGUUCGGAAUUACUGGGCGUAAAGCGAGUGUAGGCGGUCCGUCAAGUUGGUUGUGAAAUCUCCUGGCUCAACUGGGAGGGUGCAAUCAAAACUGACGGACUAGAGUCUGGGAGAGGAGAGUGGAAUUCCUGGUGUAGCGGUGAAAUGCGUAGAUAUCAGGAGGAACACCAGUGGCGAAGGCGGCUUUCUGGACCGAUACUGACGCUGAGACGCGAAAGCGUGGGGAGCAAACAGGAUUAGAUA
RNAcentral lists this ribosomal RNA (279 nucleotides) under uncultured bacterium. Its description in RNAcentral is "partial 16S ribosomal RNA". It matches the Rfam family "Bacterial small subunit ribosomal RNA", at positions 506 to 784 of the family's 1533-position model. The record is from RNAcentral.